This is a non-coding RNA of Schistocerca cancellata (South American locust), 105 nucleotides long. The record is from the annotation of a RefSeq genome assembly. NCBI's taxonomy places the organism in Eukaryota, Metazoa, Arthropoda, Insecta, Orthoptera, Acrididae.
GGCCCGUUAGCUAAGUUUUUUUUUAAAAAAAAAAAGAAAAAAAAAGUUGGUUAGAGCGUCGUGCUAAUAACGCGAAGGUCGUGGGUUCAAUCCCCCCACGGGCCA